UAUUAUUUUACUACUCAUAAAUGGAUGAAAAAAUAGAAUUGUUUAUGGAACAUGCAUAAACUUACAAAUACAAGAGCAGCAAGAAAACGAAUUUAAAGGAAAAAUAGUUAAUGUAACAUUCAUCCUAAUCUUGGAUGUAAUAUAGCAGUAUUUUUUUGUUGUUAUCAUCCUUAACAGAAGAUUAAACGCAACACCUUGACAUAUGAGAAUAAUCGUUAAUGUUGCAGAAAAAAAUAUAUACAUUUUUGUAGGAACUUUUGAUCUAAUUUCUGAAAGAGUUAUCAUUAUUUUUUCAUUCUUUUUCUCUUUUUUUUCUUUUGUUUUUAUAUCUUUGCAAUUUGUUAGAAGUAAAGUAAUGGUCAUAAUAAAUUGUAGAUACGUCUUUGUCGAACGCUUGACAUUGUUCAUUAAUUUAAAAUCAUAAUUACAACAUUAUUUUACGCGCGCGCGCAACAUGUAGAAUUAUUAUUUUACAAUUACGUGAUUAUCACAAUUUUAUUGAAAAUUCGCGUUAUUUAGAGUCAGUAAAACAGUUUAUAGUCAAUAAGUAUCAAACUUCAGUAACAUCAGAGCCAGACUAUAUAUAGUCAUGGAAAUAGGAAACAACGUGUCUCGCAUACUCAUCCCUGCAGUCAAUCAAUAAGUAUCUGCGAGCAUAUAGAAGAUACAUGAGUACAUAUUUAACUGCUCCUAGGUGUACCCAACAUGUCGAUGGAUGAAAGAUCCGAAUCUCAGUCGUAUAGACGGGCAACAGUGACUGUUGACGCACAUGUACGUUUCUCUAUUGUUCAUGAUACUUUCUCUUAAGGGUCAUAUAUCACCAUCGAAAAUAUUUAUCCUUGGGAACCUAUUGGAUAUUAACUAACAAAACGCAUAGAUAAAAAACACAUUGUCUGGGCUUAGGUAUUCUUAGUAAAGUAUCUGGGUUUUGAUAAUAUGUCAUUUCGGCCAAUAAGUAAACAGUGAAAGUAGACGCGUAGGCGCGAUAAGCCAAGGGUUAUCUGGUUUCUAGCUUUGAAAUAUUCAUUAGCAUCCUCUAACCACACCAUCAUUAGAACAAAGGAGACUUACAUGGAAUGUUUAAUUCCAAUGAACUAUAACCGAUCAGUAGGCAUUUAUUCUUUCCCUUUCCAUACUUCAACUCCGCCCUUUUUAUUCCCUUUCCCAAUUUCAUUACAAUCUGCGUGGAUAGUUCUAGACACUAAAAAAGCAGUUAAGUUAUAUUUUUCAGACUUACAACAUCUAAGCUCUCAAAUCUCCUUCAGAUACAGCCAGUACAACUAAUCACCUCUACCACUAAACACAUCAUUACACGAAACACAUAAACAAUUGUAAGUUAUUUCAUCAAAUAUACGGUGAUAAUUUCAACGCGCGCAACAUUUAAUAUCGCACAUUUACUUCUCGAAUCUCACGGAAUCCUUUAAAAGAGGAUUUUCAUUAAUUUACGAGAACGCGGCGAGCGGUAUUUUGCUGACGACCUACAACGGUAUCCUAGUCUAGUGUCGUGAUCCUUAUUCAUCGCGACCAGUGGAUCUAUAGCUCGGACAACAAGGACGAGACGGGGGAUAUUUCUCCGUGCAAAUCGACUGUCAUCGCUGGUCCGUUGCGAGACGUGUAUCUAAAAUCGCUUUCGUAGUUGCGCCCACACGACGCAACAGUGACGGUGAUGUUAAAUCUUUAAAUCUGUCUUAUUAUUAAAUCUGUUCGAACAAUUUAGCGGUUUUAUGAGAGUAACAAGAAUAUAACGUUCUUGCGGGGAUACUAUUCGAAUUGAAACGGAGAAUUGUCGUAAUAUCGAAUAAACGUGCGAUUCUGGAUUCA
Vespa mandarinia (Asian giant hornet) is the source of this 1821-nucleotide long non-coding RNA. Lineage: Eukaryota; Metazoa; Arthropoda; Insecta; Hymenoptera; Vespidae. The record is from RefSeq and is a predicted model, not a curated record.